This 207-nucleotide ribosomal RNA is filed under the name Acinetobacter baumannii. RNAcentral describes it as "partial 16S ribosomal RNA". It matches the Rfam family "Bacterial small subunit ribosomal RNA", at positions 1 to 209 of the family's 1533-position model. The record is from RNAcentral. Lineage: Bacteria; Pseudomonadati; Pseudomonadota; Gammaproteobacteria; Moraxellales; Moraxellaceae.
UAACUGAAGAGUUUGAUCAUGGCUCAGAUUGAACGCUGGCGGCAGGCUUAACACAUGCAAGUCGAGCGGGGGAAGGUAGCUUGCUACUGGACCUAGCGGCGGACGGGUGAGUAAUGCUUAGGAAUCUGCCUAUUAGUGGGGGACAACAUCUCGAAAGGGAUGCUAAUACCGCAUACGUCCUACGGGAGAAAGCAGGGGAUCUUCGGA